GAUGGCAGCCAUAUCACCCAAGACUUGUUACCCACUGAAGCUAAGCAGGGUUGAGCCUGGUCAGCACCUGGAUGGGAGACCUCCUGGGAAAACUAUAGGUUGCUGCUGGAA
RNAcentral lists this ribosomal RNA (111 nucleotides) under Sinocyclocheilus anshuiensis. Lineage: Eukaryota; Metazoa; Chordata; Actinopteri; Cypriniformes; Cyprinidae. The record is from RNAcentral.